AAUAAGCGCAGCCAUGAAUUUCCGUGCUCAAGUUUGAUCGUUCAUCUUAUUUGAAUUUUUUUAUAAUUAGUAUUUUUAUUGUAAUUAGAUUAUAAAAUAUGAAUAGUACUUUAUGCGUGAAUUAUAUUUUUUAAUUUUUUCAAAAAAAAUUAAAUAAGACGGACGAUCAAAUUUAGACAUGGAAACUCGUGACUGUGCUUAUU
This is a non-coding RNA of Oryza glaberrima (African rice), 203 nucleotides long. The record is from Rfam. Lineage: Eukaryota; Viridiplantae; Streptophyta; Magnoliopsida; Poales; Poaceae.